GCCCAUUUUGGCUGCACAUGCACUAAAACUGGAAUGAUACAGAGAAGAUUAGCAUGGCUCCUUUGCAAGGAUGACAAGCAAACUCAGGAAAAAAGACAAGGGACA
Molecule: small nuclear RNA, 105 nt
Organism: Monodelphis domestica (gray short-tailed opossum)
Lineage: Eukaryota; Metazoa; Chordata; Mammalia; Didelphimorphia; Didelphidae
Source: Ensembl